CGACAAUGGCUGACAUCUCAGAACCUCGUAAUCCCGCCGAAACCUCAUCUGAAAUUUCGGAAUCCCCCGAAACGCCACCGCAAGUUCCCGCACCGGAUUUCGACCCUAAAACCAUGCGUACCACAAAACUCUUCCUCGCCGUCUCAGUCCUUCUCUCCUUCCUUCUAGGUUUCCCGUUCUUGUGGAAAUCAGUGGAAAUCUACCGCUCACCGCUCCCAUUUGAAGACAUGGAUAUGCUUUCCAAGGAAAUUGAGUCGAAUCCCUUGCAAUUCCCAUGCCAGUUCCAAGCCGUUUUCAUCGAUUCCAAUCCUCAAUCUUCUUUCUCUGUUCUCAAUCCACAUCGCAUGCACCAGUCAAUCCUUGCACAAAUGACCAAACUGACCCCACAAACCCC
Molecule: unclassified non-coding RNA, 394 nt
Filed under: Hevea brasiliensis (rubber tree)
Lineage: Eukaryota; Viridiplantae; Streptophyta; Magnoliopsida; Malpighiales; Euphorbiaceae
Source: RNAcentral